Long non-coding RNA from Lagopus muta (rock ptarmigan), 432 nucleotides. RefSeq lists it as uncharacterized. The transcript has 4 exons. Lineage: Eukaryota; Metazoa; Chordata; Aves; Galliformes; Phasianidae. The record is from RefSeq and is a predicted model, not a curated record.
UUAGGCAGAGGCGGCUGCACACUCCAUGAGGUUUGCUGCCGAGCACUAAUGGGGGAAGAUCGUCCAUCUCUGCACUGUUCACCUCUGCCCAUUUUCUCCUGAGAAGCUUCGCCACUAUAAAAUGUAUAAUUCCACCCCCACCCCCCCCGAACGUCGCUUGGAUUUAACUCCAUCUCCUCGUCUUUUAGAUGUGUCUUAAUCUGGGCUUGCGCCGUCCUUCCCUCCGCUGAACAGGAGGAGUGAAAAUCGCAGUUUACCCGCUGCGAGCCGCACGCACAAGGGCUGGAUUGUGGGCCGGAUGGAGAUUAAGGGGAAAAGUGCAGGAAAAAAAGCAGCAGAGCAACGAGAGACGCUUCUAUACUUCGAAAUGCAAAAGAAAGCAACCGUGGGCUGUGUUCAAGAGCCGGCCUGGGACUGAUGGCACCCAAACCC